Small nuclear RNA from Cavia porcellus (domestic guinea pig), 102 nucleotides. The record is from Ensembl. NCBI's taxonomy places the organism in Eukaryota, Metazoa, Chordata, Mammalia, Rodentia, Caviidae.
GUACGCACUGCAGCAACACAUACAGUAAAAUUGGGACAAUAGAGAAUAGUAUGGCCCUUGCAUCAGGAUGACAUGCAAAUUCAUGAAGCAUUCAUAUUGUGU